RNAcentral lists this long non-coding RNA (2443 nucleotides) under Equus asinus (donkey). RNAcentral describes it as "lncRNA (ENSEASG00005036908.1)". Lineage: Eukaryota; Metazoa; Chordata; Mammalia; Perissodactyla; Equidae. The record is from RNAcentral.
GGCAGGCAAAGAGUGAGGAUAUCUCGGGCCUCCUGAAUCUUCACUACAGCUUCUCCAUUCUUGUGGAUAGCAGAAAAUGCUCGGGAAACCCACACCUCCCUUCAAGUGGUAGGAAAAAGGCUUUGCAGAGGCGUGUUCCUCGGUUAUCUGCCGUGUGGUGGGGAGUAUGUCUGAGCUCUCCCAGUGGGCAGAUUACUGAGGUGGCUAUACAUGUCAGAGACACCAUCUAGAAUUUGCACUCCUGGAGGCAACGGGAAGGUCGAGCCUGGGCAAGCCCCUGGAUGGCAUGUAAAUACACCAUACCCUCUUUACUCAAAGUGUGAUCCCCAGACCAGCAGCGUUACCGGGAGUUUGUUAGAGACUCAGGACCGCAGGCCCCAGUUUGAGAAGUGUCUGUAUACUACACUUUUCCUAAAUCCAGGUUUUCCAAGCUGGGCACCGUGGACAUUUGGGGCUGGAUCAUUCUCUGCCGUGGGGGCGUCCUGUGCACUGUGGGAUGUUGACCAAUAUCCCUGGCCCCUACCCACUAGAUGCCAGGAGCACCUCCAGUUGUGACACCAAAAACAUCUGUAGACGUGACAAAACGUCCGUGCUCUAGACUCCUGAUUGCCACACCUGUCUGCAUAGCAGAGCCUCCUGGGAGCUCUAUAAAAAGACAAGCAGACCACAGACUCCUGGGCCCCAGGGCAUGGAAUCUCUGGGGAGAAGCCCUGAAGGCAUGAUUUUAAAUGUUCCCCAGGGUAUUGGUGAUCGACUUGUGAAUAAACAAAAACUUAAUCAACUGUACAUUUUAAAAGGGUGAACUUUAUAGAAUGUCAAUUUUGUGUCAAAGCUGGUAUUAAAAGUAAAAAAGCUCCCAGGUGAUUCUGACACCAUCACCCAGCACAUGCCCCUCACAGCAACUGGGGACCCCCAAGCUUAUGGACCCUGAGGGUCCCCUGGGUGUUUGAAGCAACUGUUCUGGAGGAGGGCCCAGGAAUCUGAUUUUUAUUAAGUGCCCCAGGCAAGAUGAGAACCCAGAGCAGGAGGGGCAGAGGGCAGGGCUGGAGCUGGGGCCUGGCGACCUGGGGACUUUGCAGCAAUGCAGAGGCCCUGCCAGGUGUGCUGGGAGCCCCCGGAUCCAAGCAUCUCUCCAGCACAGGAAGGGCUGAAAAGUGGGCUGGACAAACUCGAGGGGAGCUGGAGGUGGGCCCACACGGUGCGAAUGGAGAAGCUGGAACUCUCCUCAGCUGCCCCAAGCCUGGAAGCUCAGAAGCAAAACUGAAGGCGUCAGUCACCAUCCACCACACGUUCAAGUGUAAACUAGCUAAAAAGCAAAGGUGCUGACGUACAAACCGGAGAGACUCACAGUUACAGCUAUCCUCAGCUGUCCUUCCUCUCCGGCGCUCCUGGGAGCCGCCCAAGCAGCACACACGGGAAAUCUGGCCUUGUUACCUCAAAGUCCGGCCUCUUCCAGGCUUGGUCACCCCCUACCUGACCACCGGACUUGAGCUCUAAAUGAUUUUGUUUCCAAAAUUCCACUCUAAAAAACACCAUUUGCACCCAUGACGUUGCUUCCAAGAUAGUGAUUUGCGCUCUGUGUGUCUCAUUUCUUCAGAGGAGACGCGGCAGCAUGUGGGAAUGACGGUCCGGCCUCCCCAGUGACAAGCGGUAGAUGUGCCCUUCUGGUCUGCUGUUAAAAGAUUGGGGCGUGGUUAUCUUAGGGGUUUGCAAACUCGUUGUCCCCUGAUUGGCUGGCACGGUGUUUUACAUCUUUUUGACUUAUCUGCCAACAUUCUAAAAUCAGAAGGGUUUACAUGAAAAGCCUUGCUUCUGGUUGGUCCUGGAAAUUUGUAACAUCUGCCCAAGUUCCCUCAAGGCCACAACUGGCUGAAGCACCCAUCACAGUGGGGACACAACCUCGCCUGCCCUGGCCGACCAGCACUGGCCACCACGGACACACACGUGUCCAACUCUCGCCUCAGAAUCAGCUGGAAUCUCUGAAGGGGAUCUUGCUUUCCCCAGGAGCCGUGGAAGUACAUGCCCUGCUCAGUGGGGUGGAGGCAGCACCCGGGGGAUGCAGACAGGCAGGGCUCCUCCUUCAGACGGCUCUAAAAAGAGAAGAGCUGUUCUCUGCCCAGAUUGUCUCAGACGAAGGGCCGCUGCGGGUUCCCAGGGUCCUUGCAGGGUUCUCCGAGAACAUAUCGCGGCCGGCCGCAGAAAAGCACGCUGUUCCCAAGGCUGGCCCCCAAACCCGGCGGCAGGCAGGGCUGCUGUGGCCCUGGAGUCUCCGAGGGGCUUUUCAUAGCAGGACACCUCUGAGGACAGACGAGUGCUUUGACUCUGGUGCCUUCCCAGUGUCGCUGUUGGGGAGGGAGGCCACCUGAGUUGGCCAAAAGGAGAUCUUUUGAGGCAAGACUAUUUCCAAUUCCUGCAUCUGGAAAUGUCUCUGGUUGCUUAGCCA